GCUAUGUGAAUACACUGAAGUGGAAAAGCUCUGAUUCCUUUUGAAGCAGGAAAUGGGUUGAUUAUGCCUCUAAGAAAGUACCUGUGUACCUCCGAGAGAGAGGAGUCACUUUCAUCAGACCUAUAGUGAAAGAGUUAGAAUUAUGAGAGAAAGAAUACAGAUGUCAACAGCCCCUGAGACUGCUGUCCUUAGAAAGGCCUGCUUGGAAAACUGGACUUUGGCUGACAUCUGAAAACAGCUCUCAGAGCAUCCCCAGUCAACUGUUAGCCAAUAAAAGUGGCUCACUGUACACUAGAAACUUCGUGCAAAUAAUACGGCUUAUGCUGAACACUUGCUUUCCUUCUAGAAGUCUAGACUGACAGAAGGUACGUAUGUCACCCUCCCCAGUAAAACCCUUGGGCACUGAGCGUCUACUGGACUUUUCUGGAAAUAAACAUUGCA
Molecule: long non-coding RNA, 441 nt
Organism: Symphalangus syndactylus (siamang)
Lineage: Eukaryota; Metazoa; Chordata; Mammalia; Primates; Hylobatidae
Source: RefSeq, a predicted model, not a curated record